GUCAACAGACAUAUCACCCUGAACGUGCCCAAUCUAGCCUGACCUUGGAAGCUAAGCAGGGUGGGCCCAGUUAGUAUUUGGAUGGGAGAUAUCGAAUAGGAACCACAAAAUUAUUUACA
Nomascus leucogenys (northern white-cheeked gibbon) is the source of this 119-nucleotide ribosomal RNA. The record is from Ensembl. NCBI's taxonomy places the organism in Eukaryota, Metazoa, Chordata, Mammalia, Primates, Hylobatidae.